Molecule: unclassified non-coding RNA, 254 nt
Filed under: uncultured fungus
Lineage: Eukaryota; Fungi
Also listed under: 1 other name
Description: partial contains 5.8S ribosomal RNA, internal transcribed spacer 2, and large subunit ribosomal RNA
Rfam family: 5.8S ribosomal RNA (bases 1-52)
Source: RNAcentral
AACGCACAUUGCGCCCGCCAGUAUUCUGGCGGGCAUGCCUGUUCGAGCGUCAUUUCAACCCUCAAGCCCUCGGGUUUGGUGUUGGGGAUCGGGCUGUACUCCAGCCCGCCCCCGAAAUCUAGUGGCGGUCUCGCUGCAGCCUCCAUUGCGUAGUAGCUAACACCUCGCAACUGGAACGCGGCGCGGCCAUGCCGUUAAACCCCCAACUUCUGAAUGUUGACCUCGGAUCAGGUAGGAAUACCCGCUGAACUUAA